RNAcentral lists this ribosomal RNA (253 nucleotides) under uncultured bacterium. RNAcentral describes it as "partial 16S ribosomal RNA". It matches the Rfam family "Bacterial small subunit ribosomal RNA", at positions 524 to 776 of the family's 1533-position model. The record is from RNAcentral.
UACGUAUGGAGCAAGCGUUAUCCGGAUUUACUGGGCGUAAAGGGCGCGUAGGCGGCAAUUCAAGUCAGCUGUGAAAUCUCCGGGCUUAACUCGGAACGGUCAGCUGAUACUGCUUUGCUAGAGUGCAGAAGGGGCAAUCGGAAUUCUUGGUGUAGCGGUGAAAUGCGUAGAUAUCAAGAGGAACACCUGAGGUGAAGACGGGUUGCUGGGCUGACACUGACGCUGAGGAGCGAAAGCGUGGGGAGCGAACAGG